UAGUUAAUUAUACUUUGUGAUAGUAAACAAUGAAUAUGGUGAGCAAACAGAGGAGGAACUGCUCCCGAGGGGAAGGAAUCUGCGUGUUACUAAUGACAAUGUCAUUACUUUUAUUCAUCUUGUAGCAAAUCAUCGCUUGAAUUUUCAGAUACGUCAACAAAGUUCGCAUUUCUUGAGGGGAUUUCAACAACUUAUUCAGAAGGAUUGGAUUGACAUGUUUAAUGAACAUGAACUUCAGCUUUUGAUAUCAGGUUCACUGGAGAGCUUGGAUGUUGAUGAUCUGCGGCAGCAUACCAACUAUGCAGGAGGCUAUCACAGUGUAAGCUCUUUGGCGCCUAUGUGGUUUUAUUCAGUAAAUCCUUAGCAGAAACACUCAAAUGAUAUUAUAGUCAUGCUAAAAAAUUAGUUUGAGACUUUUUUUUUUGAAGUCUUUCUGGCUUCUUAUCAUUAGAUAUACAUAAGAACUAGGGUCAAAUCCAUGAUAUUAAUCAAUAGUGGGGAAAAAGAAAGACUGAAAGAAGGUAUCGG
Molecule: non-coding RNA, 528 nt
Organism: Arachis ipaensis
Lineage: Eukaryota; Viridiplantae; Streptophyta; Magnoliopsida; Fabales; Fabaceae
Source: RefSeq, a predicted model, not a curated record